GUAUGCAUGCAGUGAGUGCAUUGCAUAGCAUAAGGCCACAAUGGAGAAAGUACUGCAGUGAUUACUAUUCAGUGGAGAACUAUAAGGCCACAUAUGCACCAACUUUUGCACCACUAGAUGAUAAAAGUGAAUGGGUCCAGCCAAACAUGAACAAGAAGAUCUUGAACCCUCCUCACAGUAGGAAACCAGGAAGACCCAAGAGCAAGAGGGUAAGAAGUUAUGAUGAACCUCGUGUUGAGAAGACAAAAAGGAGGUGUGGGAAAUGUGGAAAUGUUACUAACCACAACAAAAGAACAUGUGCUGGUGGUGAAGUGGGAUCUAAUCCAACUGCAAAGAGGCAAAGGACUGAAUGUGAUGCACAAAGCUUCACCUUCAGCAACAU
Long non-coding RNA from Papaver somniferum (opium poppy), 382 nucleotides. RefSeq lists it as uncharacterized. The transcript is spliced from 3 exons. The record is from RefSeq and is a predicted model, not a curated record. NCBI's taxonomy places the organism in Eukaryota, Viridiplantae, Streptophyta, Magnoliopsida, Ranunculales, Papaveraceae.